AAUAUGUCUAUCCCGUUGCAACGGGAUACCGUUUUGCAGCAGCCCUCUUUUAUUUAUAAUUUUUUAUGAUUAGUAUUUUUAUUGUUAUUAGAUGAUAAGACAUAAAUAGUCCUUUAUGAUGCGUGACUUGUGUUUUUUUAAUUUUUUUCUAAAAAAUUUUUAAAUAAGGUGGACGAUCAAACUUGGACACGAAAACUCAUGGCUACGUUUAAA
Molecule: microRNA precursor, 213 nt
Filed under: Oryza sativa Indica Group (long-grained rice)
Lineage: Eukaryota; Viridiplantae; Streptophyta; Magnoliopsida; Poales; Poaceae
Description: MIR812 microRNA precursor family
Rfam family: MIR812 microRNA precursor family
Source: Rfam by way of RNAcentral